This is a non-coding RNA of Silurus meridionalis, 765 nucleotides long. The record is from the annotation of a RefSeq genome assembly. Lineage: Eukaryota; Metazoa; Chordata; Actinopteri; Siluriformes; Siluridae.
AUGAUUUGGUCUCCAGCUGGAUCGAUGGUGAAGCCCUCCGUGUUUCUGCUCCCUCCCUCCUCUCUGCAGCUCUCUGAGGGUUCGGCCUCUCUGCUCUGCCUGCUCUCUGACUAUUCUCCACAAGGGGCGCUGCUGAGCUGGACUCUGGACGGUGUCGAGGUGAACGAAGGUGUUCUGACCAGCACAGAAGAUCAGAAGAACGGUGUCUACAGCCGCAGCAGCACCCUGAGAAAUUUCACUAAUGUAUCACUGUGGUGGACUUUUGGUGGAGGAACAAAACUCAGCAUCAAGGGUCCCACUGUGAAGCCCUCUGUGUCUCUGCUCCAUCCAUCGUCUCUGCAGCUCUCUGAGGGACCAGCCUCACUGCUCUGCCUGCUGUCUGCCUACUCUCCACAGGGGGCGACAGUGAGCUGGACAGUGGACGGCUCAGUGGUGAAUGAAGGGGUUCUAACCAGCCCUGAAGAACAGAAGAAGGACGGUUACACACGCAGCAGCACUCUGACUCUCAGCAAAGCACUCUGGGAAAAGGGAGAGGAGUUUGUCUGUACCGUCUCCCAUGACAGUGUCAAUCAUCCGGUCACGUUCAAAAAGAGCCAGUGUGAAGACUAACAGCUCCAAGAUAGAAUUAAACACUGAGCUGCUCACACAUCCAUCUACAAUAGAGUUUCAAUUCUACACAAUGCUGAUAUUCCUGUCUUUACUCUCUUCACUGUCCUGUUGCUCUUCCUGUAGUUUUGCUCUGCUGAAAUAAAGCUUCAUUUUGGA